RNAcentral lists this long non-coding RNA (535 nucleotides) under Gossypium raimondii (Peruvian cotton). Its description in RNAcentral is "long non-coding RNA (GRAI_LNC004211)". Lineage: Eukaryota; Viridiplantae; Streptophyta; Magnoliopsida; Malvales; Malvaceae. The record is from RNAcentral.
ACUGUGAGAUGCCGAUGUGAAAACACAGCGAUGAUCGGUGAGAGGAAAAAUGUCAACCUUCCUGGUGUCGUGGUGGAUCUUCCCACACUCACUGAGAAGGAUAAAGAAGACAUCUUGGGAUGGGGAGUUCCCAACAGUAUUGAUAUGAUUGCUCUUUCCUUUGUACGCAAAGGGUCUGAUCUUGUCAAUGUUCGUAAGGUCCUCGGUCCCCAUGCUAAGAAGAUUCAAUUGAUGUCAAAGGUGUGUUAAAUCUGUUUCCCCUUUCAAUUAUGAUUUAAAAACGAGAGGUUCUAUGUGGUUUCUCUAUGCAAUUUGAUUUCUAAUGAUGCGAGGUUUCCUUGUGGUUGCGAUUCAUUUAGGUUGAGAAUCAGGAGGGUGUUAUCAACUUCGACGAGAUCUUGCGUGAGACUGAUGCAUUUAUGGUUGCCCGUGGUGACCUUGGAAUGGAAAUUCCGGUUGAGAAGAUCUUCCUAGCACAAAAGAUGAUGAUAUACAAGUGUAAUCUUGCAGGCAAGCCUGUUGUUACCGCCACUCA